AUGGGCAGCGAUCUAAAUGGUGCAAGAAAAAGACAUAGGCAUUCCUACGAAUCCUACCGGGGAACAAAUUUUAAGAAAACCAGAGCAAAGGUUCAGUUUGCAGACCUUUCUGAGGAUCUACUGUCUACGAUUCUAUCAAAACUACCGUUAAAGGACGCUGUAAGGACUGGCAUUCUAUCAAGUAAAUGGAAAGAUAGGUGGAAGAUAUGCCCCAAACUAAGAUUUGAUGUUCUCACAGUGUCCAACGAUGUGUUUUAUCAGCGACAACACACUCAGAAAUUCAUUAAGACUGUUAAUGCAGUCAUGCAACAACAUCAGGGCACAUUUGUUGAAGAGCUCAUGAUCAAAUUUGGAUAUGACAACAGGCUAGUGAAUCAUAUCAAUACUUGGGUUGCUUUUGCUGUAUCGGCCCAGACAAAGAGUCUUGCCCUUGAUUUACCUCCACGCGAUUUGCUGGUACCGCAAGCGGAUCAAUACAGAUUUCCUGUUAAUCUUUUAGAUAACAGAAGCAUAUUUUGGCUUCGUCAUCUGCAACUUAGUUUUGCAUCAUUUUAA
Molecule: ribosomal RNA, 555 nt
Filed under: Triticum aestivum (bread wheat)
Lineage: Eukaryota; Viridiplantae; Streptophyta; Magnoliopsida; Poales; Poaceae
Description: partial small subunit ribosomal RNA
Source: RNAcentral